RNAcentral lists this non-coding RNA (27 nucleotides) under Macaca fascicularis (crab-eating macaque). The record is from RNAcentral. RNAcentral also lists the same sequence under 1 other name. Lineage: Eukaryota; Metazoa; Chordata; Mammalia; Primates; Cercopithecidae.
UACAAGGCUGAAUUCAAAAUUGGAGAA